RNAcentral lists this ribosomal RNA (497 nucleotides) under uncultured bacterium. RNAcentral describes it as "partial 16S ribosomal RNA". It matches the Rfam family "Bacterial small subunit ribosomal RNA", at positions 28 to 507 of the family's 1533-position model. The record is from RNAcentral.
GACGAACGCUGGCGGCGUGCCUAAUACAUGCAAGUUGAGCGCUGAAGGUUGGUACUUGUACCAACUGGAUGAGCAGCGAACGGGUGAGUAACGCGUGGGGAAUCUGCCUUUGAGCGGGGGACAACAUUUGGAAACGAAUGCUAAUACCGCAUAAAAACUUUAAACACAAGUUUUAAGAUUGAAAGAUGCAAUUGCAUCACUCAAAGAUGAUCCCGCGUUGUAUUAGCUAGUUGGUGAGGUAAAGGCUCACCAAGGCGAUGAUACAUAGCCGACCUGAGAGGGUGAUCGGCCACAUUGGGACUGAGACACGGCCCAAACUCCUACGGGAGGCAGCAGUAGGGAAUCUUCGGCAAUGGACGAAAGUCUGACCGAGCAACGCCGCGUGAGUGAAGAAGGUUUUCGGAUCGUAAAACUCUGUUGGUAGAGAAGAACGUUGGUGAGAGUGGAAAGCUCAUCAAGUGACGGUAACUACCCAGAAAGGGACGGCUAACUACGUG